Long non-coding RNA from Ictidomys tridecemlineatus (thirteen-lined ground squirrel), 4973 nucleotides. RefSeq lists it as uncharacterized. The record is from RefSeq and is a predicted model, not a curated record. NCBI's taxonomy places the organism in Eukaryota, Metazoa, Chordata, Mammalia, Rodentia, Sciuridae.
GGUGGAAAAUAAGGAGGAGGAUUGCUCUAGGUUAAGGGACAAGCGUAUACAAAGACACAGGAUUGUCACUGAGUCCUGUAUUUUGGUGUAGCUGGGGCCUUAGUGGUAGGGUGGGUUCAUUUCCUUGGCAGGUGAUUCAGAUAUGGUUCAAAGUAGAUGGGCAUAAAUGCAAUUUUGUUUUAGGGGAAAGAAUGGAAAAUGAAGUUUGAUGGCAAGUUCAAAAUUACAAAGGAUUUAAAAAGAAUGAAAUGAUUGAAUUAACAUUAAGGACUCGAGUAUCUCUCUGCACUACAAGUAAUUGGAAUUCAGAGUUAUGCAGCCGAAGCCCCUCAUUGGCCUGGACUCAGCAAAGUUGCUGGGUGACUUUGCAGAAGAGAAACAUCCCCCGAUUUAGAGAAAAAUCAAAGGGAAAAGAGCUACAUAGGGACUUAUAGAGAGAAAGGUUUUUGUUUUUUUUUUAUAUUUUCACUUUUUUGUAUAUUUCUAGCAGCAAUAACAUUUAUAAAUAGCAAAACUAAUUAGAGUGGUUAGGUUUCCAGACCUGCAGAAAAAAAAAAAAACUUGUAAGGAAUGUCUGAUAAGGAACAUUAAGUAAGAUGAGGAAUAAGAAAGGUUGAAGAGCUUCAAAUCAAUUGGAAUUUAAAGUUUAAAGUCCUGGGCUUCGGAACUCCAAAUGAUCCUUAAAGAAAUUGUGGUAUCCCUUUAAGAGCCAUUUGGUGCAAUUCAUAGCCUGAUUCAUGUCACCAGCUGCCUCUGAUUUCAGAGAGAAAUGCAGAAAUUUAUAGGGAACUGUAAAAUAGGGACAGGUUUUGAGUUUUCUAAAUUGGGGUUUCACAGGAAAACUUCUGAAACCACAGAGCUGGGCUGUGGGAAGCCAGUUUCUUUUCCGGUCAGAACAAAUAAACACACAAAUACACAUCUAACUCUCAAAGUGUUGGGAGAGAGGACUCAACGGUCUUUGCAGAAGAGGAAAAGGAAAAAUCAGCCUUGUGGGCAAUGGGAGGAGGUCACAUUGACCAGUAGGCAGCACCCUGCGCUGGCAGAGGGAGAAAUUCAAGCUUCAGCUGCGCCCGCCAGAGCAGGCUUUUGCACAAACUCCAGCUUCCCAGGGGCAUGUCUCCCGUGCAUCCAGCCUCCCCUUCAGUGGAAGAGAACCUCCACCCCGGUCACCCACAGGACAUGCAGAGAUCUGCUCUGCCAGUCCCCUCCUUUAUCCUGUGUGGCGGACUCCAGCAUUGGAGAGAAAACAACUCAGAGCUCAGAUAGGACAUCAGCAAAAGAACAUUAAUUACACAGAAAGAGCCGACUAAGAAGGCAGUGCUAGCAUCUACCCUAGGAAGAAAACAUGUUGCAGAUGCCAAAGCCUCCGACUAUCUGCAAACGACUACAGGUUUUCCUGUGAGCCAAAACCCCUAGCAGACAGCAUGUGGGAGCACCAAGUUCUGCAGUUAGUUACUUGUCUCUCCCCACUUAAAAGCAACUCAGUGCCAUUUACCAACUCAGAGUAUGCAGAGGUUCAGUCCAGCCUAGAAAGGAUCCCUCAGUGCCAGGAGGCCAGGUGCCCCAGAGGUAUAGCAAGACCUGGGCCCAUGUAUGUGUCUGUGUCGAUGGUUUGUGGAGAAAUGUAACACUGGAUUGGAGCUGAGCUGAAUAAUAAGAAAUACCUUCUCUAUGAUAAUGGUGCUUUUCAUACUGAUAAGUCCCUCUAUAAGAACUUCCUCCAUAAUAUAGCAACCAACAUUGAGGAGGGAGAGGCAGGUUUGGGUGUGAAACACAGGUUUUACUGAGCAUCUUUUCUGUGUUAGAGCAUCUUUUCUGUGUUCCUUAAAUUACUUUCACAAACUUGUGAGGGUCCUACUAUUAUAUAUUUCUUUCUCUUUUCUUUUUCUUUUCUUUUCACAAAUGAGGAGACAGGCUCAGAGAUUAUCUAAUUUGCCAAGUUUACCUAGCAAUAUAUUUAUUACUCCCCACCACUACUACUACAACAGAUUAAUUGUCUUCAGUUAUUUUUAUAUCUUAAAAAGGUGGAUAGUAAUAUUAUUCCCAUUUUCCAUAUGGGAUAACUGCCCAGAGAGGCUAAGUAACUUGCCCAGAGUCACACAGAUAGUGUUUGAGAAAGAAUUUGAGCUCUUGUGCAUUGUAUAUCAUUGCUUCUUACUAAUAUAUUAUAAUGCAUGAAGAAUUUCAAACACACAACACACAUACAUGCAGAAUUCACCGAGAACCCCAAUUUGAUUCAUUUUGAGGAAAGCAUUAGACUGAGAAACAGAACUUAGCUAUAAUCUUUUCUUUUUACCCAAGCUGAUUACAUACUUUGGGCAUAGUAAUUUAAUAUCUCUUAUCUUAUUUUUGCAUUUGCAAAAUGGAGGUUGCCAUGAGGCUUGAGAUGAGAUUAUGCCUGUGAAAGGGCUACCUUAGUUGUCCAGAGGGCUACCUGCUAUUCAAACCCAGGAGGCAAAUUUGUGCACUCCCUCUCUAAGACACCAUUCCUCUGGCACAUUUUGGGGACCGAUGAUUUGAGCUCUCACUGUAAGUCAUGUCCCAUUUUCGCUCCAAUCUCAUUCCACUUGAGAAUGUCGGUCUUGCCAAGCCUGGCGUUGUCAGGAGACUGUGGUCAAGAACACAGGUACAAGUAUAUCAGAUGAGAACCUAUGUUUGAACUCAGGCACAGUUUUCACAAAAUGUUGCUUUCUGUUGCAGGCAGGGUAAGAGAAACCGCCUUUAAAAUUCCCAUUAAAAAAGAAUCUCAGGCUCCUCAGACAUCAAAUAACUCUCACAAGACAACAUUUUAAUGAUUUAAGUGUAAAUGAAUCAGAAACACAUGGACUGCAUUUCUUUUGGAAUACACAAAGGUUUUAAAACCAAAGGAGAAAGAACUUGGCAAAACGCACACAGUGCUGCGCAGAGGGCCCUGCCCAGGAAAGACGCCCUGGAUUCAUGCUGCCUCUGAGCUCGCCCUCCCCGAUUUUAGGGGACACACUGGGAAAUGCAAUCAACUGUUCUGGUUCUGGGCACAGAGGGAAGAGCUUGGAAGAGAAAGUCACCAUUCCCUCUUGUUCUCAAGUGUCAUAGAACAAUUAGGCCUCCCAGAAUAAUUUCCUGGCGGUGUUUUUCCAAGGCUGCCAGUGUUCAAUGGCAGGCAUUUGAAAUAUGUUCGAAGCCAAAGUUCUGCCAAUAUACAGCAGAUCUGAUGUGUGUGCUUCCCUGGGAUUUAGCCAAGACUCAGAGGAAAUCUGCAUGAGAACUGUAACUGGCUCAGUGAGGGAUCUCGGGGAGAACCAGCGCAGAUCCACAUUGGGUCAGACCGCAUUUGCGACAGUGUCCUGUGCUUUUGAUGUGAACUCCUGGAUGUCAUUAUCAGAUUGUGGGUGGGGCAGGGGAGGCAUGCAAGGGACCGGGACUAGGAGAACUGGGCUCAGUGUCUGUGAGCUGUGUGUGACCUUAGGAGAGUCAUUUUCUUUCUUGGGGGAGGACAUCAGUUUGCUCAGCUAUCAAAUCCAUGCAUUGGACUCGGCUGAACUUAUGGAGCACACUAAUGUGAACGUGAAGGUCGUGCAAUGAUAGUGUGAAGGAGGCUCAGUGGAUCGUGAGACCACUGAAGAAUCAAGGUAUCUUGAGUACUCAAGGUAUCUAGAGUAGACUUCGUCAUCUUGGCACUUGCUUUGUUUGUGGUCACCAUUCAUUACUCAGAAUUCCUUCAUAGAUAUUCAGGGGUGGGGGGAAUAGCACUUAAAGGGUUUCAAUGAGUUUUUUUUUUUUUUUAAGUUUGACAAAAAUGGUUUAAAAAUGAAUAUGAGGAACUAAUAGUUUAUUUCAUUUAGAAUCAUACAAGUGUAUGGUGUUGGAGGUGGCCUGGCUGCUCUUGGGUUACUGUCAGAGGGGGGUUUCAGAGAGCUUACCUCUAUGGAAUACUGCUGCAGCAUUCCUACCACUGGAGGAUUUUGGUUUACAUGUUCUACCAAAGUAUUUAUUUUGUGUAGCUCCUGAGUGCAAGUUUCUGGAAUUCCGUGAAUGUGUCCUACAAUGCAAAGAAUUUGGGUGAUAGGUUUUUUUGGCAAAGCCUGAGACCCAGGGCUCCCUAUAGAAGAGCUAAGAAACUGAUAAAUAGAUCCAAAGACUGUAGCUAGAGUUAAACUUUGGGUGUUUCAAUAUAUUGACUAACUGUGUUGAAAGUAAUUUUUAAAAUGCCAAACCUGGAGCUACAUCCCAGGAGAUUUAAAUUCAAUGAAUCUUUGUAAGGGCAGCUGAAUCUGCAAUUUUAGAAUCUCCCCUGGUGUGAUUUUGCCAUUUUUGGUAAUGUAACAUAAUGGUACAUCUUAUAAUUGAUGGGUGUCUUAGAUCUGAUGAGAUAAUACCUAGUAAUACCACACUCUUUCAUGUGUGUUUUUGCAUGUAAUAGUCACAUCUUUUUACAGAUGAAGACCACAUUGUUCAGAGAAAAUGAGUGUGUCUGUAAAGGAAUGAUCAUUGUCUGGAGUUCAGGCUCCUAAUCCCAAAUCUAGGAUUUUUCCCCCUCAUCUGCAGAUUUCUGAUACUUCCUGUGGAAUUUAAAUAUUCAUGAGUCAUGCUGUCAUGGGAUUACACAAUUUUUCAGAGAAGGAAAAAAAAUAGCUUACAUUUAAAAGAUGAACUCUUAGGAUCUGAUAGGGGCUAAUUAAGCCCCCCUUGAACUCAUAUGUUGACAUCCCAACCCCAGUACCUCAGACCAUGACUUUGGUGGCUUAUAAAGAGGUGAUUAAGUUACAAUGGGGUCUAUGGAGUAGGCUCCAGUCCAACAUGACUAGUGUCUUCUGAAGAGAUGAAGACAUAGCCAUGCAGGCGAAGACCACAGGAAGAAGACAGCGUUCUUCACACCCAGGACAAAAGUCUCAGAAGAAACCAAACCUGCAGCACUUGAUCCUGGACUAUAAGCCUCCAGAAUUCUGCAAGAAUAUAUUCAUAUAUAUUAAUUAAUUCAUGAUUGCACUAAUUAA